RNAcentral lists this transfer RNA (72 nucleotides) under Heterocephalus glaber (naked mole-rat). It matches the Rfam family "tRNA". From Rfam's summary of the family: Transfer RNA (tRNA) molecules are approximately 80 nucleotides in length. Their secondary structure includes four short double-helical elements and three loops (D, anti-codon, and T loops). The record is from Rfam by way of RNAcentral. Lineage: Eukaryota; Metazoa; Chordata; Mammalia; Rodentia; Bathyergidae.
AGGAAUGUAGCUCAGUGGUAGAGCGCUUUCCUAGCAUGCAUGGGGUCCUGGGUUCAAUCCCCAGUACUGCAA